AGUCAUAGGGCAUGUCUCUAUUGGCAGGUGAUAUAGUGAUAUGGCUCUAGAAAUUCACUUGCCAAAGGAGAGCUGCCCUAUGAAU
RNAcentral lists this microRNA precursor (85 nucleotides) under Medicago truncatula (barrel medic). Its description in RNAcentral is "miR399m stem-loop (mtr-MIR399m)". Its record names the gene mtr-MIR399m. Lineage: Eukaryota; Viridiplantae; Streptophyta; Magnoliopsida; Fabales; Fabaceae. The record is from miRBase by way of RNAcentral.